UACAUAGGUCUCAAGCGUUGUUCGGAUUCAUUGGGCGUAAAGGGUGCGUAGGCGGCGCGGUAAGUCGGGUGUGAAAUCUCGGAGCUUAACUCCGAAACUGCAUUCGAUACUGCCGUGCUUGAGGACUGGAGAGGAGACUGGAAUUUACGGUGUAGCGGUGAAAUGCGUAGAUAUCGUAAGGAAGACCAGUGGCGAAGGCGGGUCUCUGGACAGUACCUGACGCUGAGGCACGAAGGUCAGGGGAGCAAACGGG
This 253-nucleotide ribosomal RNA is filed under the name uncultured bacterium. RNAcentral's name for it is "partial 16S ribosomal RNA". It matches the Rfam family "Bacterial small subunit ribosomal RNA", at positions 524 to 776 of the family's 1533-position model. The record is from RNAcentral.